RNAcentral lists this ribosomal RNA (700 nucleotides) under Microbacterium sp. RNAcentral's name for it is "bacterial SSU rRNA". It matches the Rfam family "Bacterial small subunit ribosomal RNA", at positions 106 to 820 of the family's 1533-position model. Lineage: Bacteria; Bacillati; Actinomycetota; Actinomycetes; Micrococcales; Microbacteriaceae. The record is from RNAcentral.
GUGAGUAACACGUGAGCAACCUGCCCUGGACUCUGGGAUAAGCGCUGGAAACGGCGUCUAAUACUGGAUAUGAGACGUGAUCGCAUGGUCGUGUUUGGAAAGAUUUUUCGGUCUGGGAUGGGCUCGCGGCCUAUCAGCUUGUUGGUGAGGUAAUGGCUCACCAAGGCGUCGACGGGUAGCCGGCCUGAGAGGGUGACCGGCCACACUGGGACUGAGACACGGCCCAGACUCCUACGGGAGGCAGCAGUGGGGAAUAUUGCACAAUGGGCGGAAGCCUGAUGCAGCAACGCCGCGUGAGGGAUGACGGCCUUCGGGUUGUAAACCUCUUUUAGCAGGGAAGAAGCGAAAGUGACGGUACCUGCAGAAAAAGCGCCGGCUAACUACGUGCCAGCAGCCGCGGUAAUACGUAGGGCGCAAGCGUUAUCCGGAAUUAUUGGGCGUAAAGAGCUCGUAGGCGGUUUGUCGCGUCUGCUGUGAAAUCCCGAGGCUCAACCUCGGGUCUGCAGUGGGUACGGGCAGACUAGAGUGCGGUAGGGGAGAUUGGAAUUCCUGGUGUAGCGGUGGAAUGCGCAGAUAUCAGGAGGAACACCGAUGGCGAAGGCAGAUCUCUGGGCCGUAACUGACGCUGAGGAGCGAAAGGGUGGGGAGCAAACAGGCUUAGAUACCCUGGUAGUCCACCCCGUAAACGUUGGGAACUAGU